UAGCCGUUGGUUCUGGGCCCGCUGAUUACAGGAUGUGUGUGUCUUCAAACUGCCGGAUUUAGGUUGUGUUCUCUCCCCUUCCUCCUCAUCUGCCCCCUUUUUGCCACCGUUUCCACUUUCUGCUGCCACAGUCUCUGUCUGUCAGCCCUAGAACGUGGACUGAGUGCUGUACCUUCUCUCAGUCCCUUUUGGAUCCCCAGAGGUCUUUCCGAAUUGGACAAAACCUACAGACCCCACUCCCCAGAGGAGUGCUUAUGGACCCCACUGUUUACAUGUCAGAAGGAGGGGUUGGACUCCCUGAAAGCCCAGCCACAGACCUGAGACAAAGAGCCUCUGUUCAGAUGCCUCCCCACGGAGGGAGUUUGGAGUCCCAUCCAGACCUUGAGCCCCUUGAGAGGAGCCCAGCCCCAGCGCUUCUUGGUAGCACCCUCAUCUCAGGCGAACAUGGCCUGGGUGACCAUGGAGACCCCCACGGUGACCAGGAACUUUCAGAUGCCCAGGCUGAAGCUCAGAGCUCAUGCCCUGUGGCCUGUCCAAGCUCCCUGCCUUUCCCUCUCCCCAACCCAGGCCUCCCUCCCCACAACACCCCUGUCCUCCUGAGAUGCGCUAAAAUGGUGUUCUUAAAAAAUACCCCCUGAGAGCUCAUUUCUGUCUGCUAGAAAAUGCCUCCCACUCAUGCUUUUCUCUCUCCUCCAAAUAACUUGUCAAAAAAAAGCCUUUCCCAAAUUUAAAAUCUUGCAAGAGAUAGUACAACAAAGGUAGCCCAGUUCUUCCUCAGUGCCAUCCUGGUGUGUUCAGGUUUUUUGGCAAAACCUUUGAGGAGCUGGUGGGUGGCAGGACCAGGUUAAAGGGACUGAGAGCAGAGAGCUCCCGACUGCUGAGAUACGAGGAAGAGGGGGCAGUGGAGAGCACACUGAGGGCUCAGUGUUGAUGACAUCCAGCCUCUUCGUGCCAGAGGUCCAGUUCCUCUUCGUGCAGGAACAGAAGCUGCUCAGGGUCCUGCAGAGAUGGUGGCAGAGCCCAGGUAGAACCUGGCACCCCUGUUGCCUCCAAGACCACCUCAGAUGCUGGCUUGGCCGCCUCCCAUGCCCCCUUCCCCUUUGCCAGCAGCUCAGUCCUUCAAGAGCAGGGCCUUGGCAGGUCUGUCUUAAACACCCGUGGGAGUCUGGCCAUCAGCCUGGCCUAGCACUGCUGUGCCCUGUCCCUGGGGUUGUGGGAAGCUGGUAGCAUCCUGGCAGCCCGAGGGGAGAAGGGCUCCCCCGAAGCAUGUGCCCAGCAAGCCACAGUCUGCAGAGUCAGCCCUCUCACCAGAUUUCCUGGGGCUCAGGGAUUCUGUCCCCUUCUUCCCAGCCCCUUGAGAGUGUGUGGCAGCGCUGGCAGCUCUGAGUGCCUGUUGAUCUCUCUGCUGGCAGCCAGGUGCGCCUGCGUCCACCUCCUCUCCUCGGCUUCUGCUGAAACGACUUCACUUUCUCAUGUUUCCUCCCACCUCCCUUUCUCUCCAGAGGCCAUUAACUGUUUGAUGCGAGCAAUCGAGAUCUACACAGACAUGGGCCGAUUCACGAUUGCGGCCAAGCACCACAUCUCCAUUGCUGAGAUCUAUGAGACGGAGUUGGUGGACAUUGAGAAGGUGAGUGGCAGCAGGGCCCUGCAUGGGCUGGCAGCCAGAACCAGCGCUGCUCUCUCUUCUUCCCACCAGAGGAGUCCUCUGGUGUCUGAGUGCCGAGAAGGGGGCAUGGGGCGCCGGCAGAACUUGGAUAACGGGGACUGGCUGUGUCCCAGGCAGGCAGGGUGGAGGGUGUGGAAGCUUCACGGAGGCCUCCUCUCCCUUCCCUGCCCUCCCCUGGAACCCAUCCCCCGUGUCUCCCCAGGCCAUCGCCCACUACGAGCAGUCCGCAGACUACUACAAAGGCGAAGAGUCCAACAGGUAGCCCCCUUCCUGCCUGCCCCAGCCCCGCAGGGACCGCCACCACUUCCCCUCACUACUCCUCCCCACACAGCUCAGCCAACAAGUGUCUGCUGAAGGUGGCUGGCUACGCCGCGCUGCUGGAGCAGUAUCAGAAGGCCAUUGACAUCUACGAACAGGUGGGGACAGGUGGGGACAGGUGGGGAUGGCGGCUCCCACCCUGCCCCGUCUCAGGGCCUAUGCCUCUUCCUAAGCUCCGGCACCUUGUUCUGGAACCACCCCUCCCCCGGCUUGCCCUCUGCCUCUCCCCCAGCAUCCCUUGCCAUGUCAUCCCCCCACCCCGUCUUCAGCCUGGCUGAACGUUCUCCACCUACGACUCCAUGCCGUGCCAGCACCGUCUCUCUCCCUGGCUGUGCCCCUCCCACACCCCUCGCAGAGCUUUCUGGAGGGGCCCAGAGUGAGGCUGGCUAAAGAACCCAGAGAGAGGGAAUGGGAAGAACUGCCAAGAGGCCCAGGGUGGCCGUGGGCACUCCACCCCAUGGCACGAUGGUCCUCAUCCACAGUGGGAGGGAGGGAGUGUCACAUGGGGUCCCCCCAGCGUGCGCGGAGCCCUGCGUGAUGGCCGAGAAAAAGGCAGGCAGCUGGCCCCCGGGGAGAGAGGAGCGGGCGCCGCCUCUCAUGUUCCCGCUGCCUGCCGCCCCUCUGCCCACCGCCGUGCCAGCCUCCCGUUGGUCCUGACAGCCAGGCUGCCUCCUUCCCACUGUCUCAGGCUCUCAGAAGGCCCACAAACACCUGGCUACAGCCUCCACCCCCCACCCAGCCGCCAUCACACCCUGAUCUUGGUCACUCACGCACUGGCAGCUGACCUCCCCAAGCUGGUCCCUGGCUCCCUGCCCUUGGGGUCCUGGGUUAACAGGGCCUCACCCCGGGACACAGACCCAGCUCCCAGCUGGCCCCCCAGUGCCUGGCAGUGGCUCUGGGCCUCUGGCUGCUUGCCCUGAGCUCACAGUGCCACUUCUCCGUGGCUACAGGUGGGGACCAAUGCCAUGGACAGCCCCCUCCUCAAGUACAGCGCCAAAGACUACUUCUUCAAGGCGGCCCUCUGCCACUUCUGCAUCGACAUGCUCAACGCCAAGCUGGCUGUCCAAAAGUAUGAGGAGCUGUUCCCGGCUUUCUCUGAUUCCCGGGAAUGCAAGUUGAUGAAAAAAUUGCUAGAGGCCCACGAGGAGCAGAAUGUGGACAGCUACACCGAGUCGGUGAAGGAAUACGAUUCCAUCUCCCGGCUGGACCAGUGGCUCACCACCAUGCUGCUGCGCAUCAAGAAGACCAUCCAGGGCGACGAGGAGGACCUGCGCUAAGCCCCACCCAGCCCCCUAGUGCCCAUCUUCCUGUCCCAUCUGCUCAGAGAGGUGGGGCCGAGACUUGCUGGAGAGCUUCCCUCCUUUCCUACCUGGGGAGUCCCGCGGGCCACAGUGGGCAGGCGGCACCGGGGGUCAGCAUGCAGGGGCACCAGAGGCCCAGGCUGCUGGCUGGACAGUCAUCCUCUGUUCUCGCUACAUCCCUUGCCCCUUGUCCAUUUAUUUAAGCCCCCAUAGGUGCCCUUCACCCCCAAAACCAGCUGUACAGAAUCUUUGAUAUGGACCUAUUUGCUAGGGGUGCUGCCGGGGGUUUGGGGUCAGCAUCUGGCCCCCUAUCUCCUGACCAGCUGAGUCAUGAGGCCGGUUUCUGUCUCUCCCACUUUUGUCCCCCAGCCAAGCUCUAAAGCACAUGUAGCCGCUGAGACCUGCUGUUUCUGCUGGGGGCAGGCUCCUCUUCCCCCAGCCCCGGGAGCCUCCCCCAGCUUCCUGCAGCCCCGACCUCUCAGGUUAGACCCUGGGCCCUGGAGCUUAGGGGAUUCUCCCCCACCCCAGCCCCACACCUGCUCCUUCCCUAAUGCUUUGAGGUUUUCUUGGUUGGAAGCUGCAGCUGGCCCAAGAAAGAAAAUAAAAAACAACACUUGCAUG
This 3906-nucleotide small RNA is filed under the name Pongo abelii (Sumatran orangutan). RNAcentral's name for it is "retained intron". The record is from RNAcentral. Lineage: Eukaryota; Metazoa; Chordata; Mammalia; Primates; Hominidae.